This 390-nucleotide unclassified non-coding RNA is filed under the name soil metagenome. Its description in RNAcentral is "partial contains 5.8S ribosomal RNA, internal transcribed spacer 2, and large subunit ribosomal RNA". The stretch from base 1 to 122 matches the Rfam family "5.8S ribosomal RNA", at positions 35 to 154 of the family's 154-position model. The record is from RNAcentral.
GAUGAAGAACGUAGCGAAAUGCGAUACUUGGUGUGAAUUGCAGAAUCCCGCGAAUCAUCGAGUUUUUGAACGCAAGUUGCGCCCGAAGCCAUUCGGCCGAGGGCACGUCUGCCUGGGUGUCACGCAUCGUUGCCCCCCCAAACUCCGGUUCGGGCGGGGCGGAAGUUGGCCUCCCGUGUGUGCCUGCGCGCGCGGUUAGCCCAAAAGCGAGUCCUCGGCGACGAGCGCCACGACAAUCGGUGGUUUUUUUACCCUCGUUCCUCGUCGUGCGUGUCCCGUCGCCCGAACGCGCUCUUGUGACCCUAACGCGUCGCCUCGGCGGCGCUCCCAACGCGACCCCAGGUCAGGCGGGACUACCCGCUGAGUUUAAGCAUAUCAAUAAGCGGAGGA